RNAcentral lists this ribosomal RNA (510 nucleotides) under uncultured bacterium. RNAcentral describes it as "partial 16S ribosomal RNA". It matches the Rfam family "Bacterial small subunit ribosomal RNA", at positions 28 to 507 of the family's 1533-position model. The record is from RNAcentral.
GACGAACGCUGGCGGUGUGCUUAACACAUGCAAGUCGAACGAAGAGCGAUGGAAGCUUGCUUCUAUCAAUCUUAGUGGCGAACGGGUGAGUAACGCGUAAUCAACCUGCCCUUCAGAGGGGGACAACAGUUGGAAACGACUGCUAAUACCGCAUACGAUCUAAUCUCGGCAUCGAGGAUAGAUGAAAGGUGGCCUCUACAUGUAAGCUAUCACUGAAGGAGGGGAUUGCGUCUGAUUAGCUAGUUGGAGGGGUAACGGCCCACCAAGGCGAUGAUCAGUAGCCGGUCUGAGAGGGUGAACGGCCACAUUGGGACUGAGACACGGCCCAGACUCCUACGGGAGGCAGCAGUGGGGAAUCUUCCGCAAUGGACGAAAGUCUGACGGAGCAACGCCGCGUGAGUGAUGACGGCCUUCGGGUUGUAAAGCUCUGUUAAUCGGGACGAAAGGCCUUCUUGCGAAUAGUGAGAAGGAUUGACGGUACCGGAAUAGAAAGCCACGGCUAACUACGUG